Molecule: ribosomal RNA, 542 nt
Filed under: uncultured Staphylococcus sp.
Lineage: Bacteria; Bacillati; Bacillota; Bacilli; Caryophanales; Staphylococcaceae
Description: bacterial SSU rRNA
Rfam family: Bacterial small subunit ribosomal RNA
Source: RNAcentral
AGGCAGCAGUAGGGAAUCUUCCGCAAUGGGCGAAAGCCUGACGGAGCAACGCCGCGUGAGUGAUGAAGGUCUUCGGAUCGUAAAACUCUGUUAUUAGGGAAGAACAUAUGUGUAAGUAACUGUGCGCAUCUUGACGGUACCUAAUCAGAAAGCCACGGCUAACUACGUGCCUGCAGCCGCGGUAAUACGUAGGUGGCAAGCGUUAUCCGGAAUUAUUGGGCGUAAAGCGCGCGUAGGCGGUUUUUUAAGUCUGAUGUGAAAGCCCACGGCUCAACCGUGGAGGGUCAUUGGAAACUGGAAAACUUGAGUGCAGAAGAGGAAAGUGGAAUUCCAUGUGUAGCGGUGAAAUGCGCAGAGAUAUGGAGGAACACCAGUGGCGAAGGCGACUUUCUGGUCUGUAACUGACGCUGAUGUGCGAAAGCGUGGGGAUCAAACAGGAUUAGAUACCCUGGUAGUCCACGCCGUAAACGAUGAGUGCUAAGUGUUAGGGGGUUUCCGCCCCUUAGUGCUGCAGCUAACGCAUUAAGCACUCCGCCUGGGGA